CGGGAUAACAACCUGGAAACAGAUGCUAAUACCGGAUAACAACAGAUGAUGCCUAUCAACUGUUUAAAAGAUGGUUCUGCUAUCACUCUUGGAUGGACCUGCGGUGCAUUAGCUAGUUGGUAGGGUAACGGCCUACCAAGGCGAUGAUGCAUAGCCGAGUUGAGAGACUGAUCGGCCACAUUGGGACUGAGACACGGCCCAAACUCCUACGGGAGGCAGCAGA
This 223-nucleotide ribosomal RNA is filed under the name uncultured Lactobacillus sp. RNAcentral describes it as "partial 16S ribosomal RNA". It matches the Rfam family "Bacterial small subunit ribosomal RNA", at positions 139 to 354 of the family's 1533-position model. Lineage: Bacteria; Bacillati; Bacillota; Bacilli; Lactobacillales; Lactobacillaceae. The record is from RNAcentral.